RNAcentral lists this ribosomal RNA (957 nucleotides) under uncultured bacterium. Its description in RNAcentral is "bacterial SSU rRNA". It matches the Rfam family "Bacterial small subunit ribosomal RNA", at positions 536 to 1500 of the family's 1533-position model. The record is from RNAcentral.
GGGGGGCGGUCGGGAUACUGGGCGUAAGCGCGCGCAGGCGGCACGUCAAGUACGGAGUGGAAUCUCCCUGCCUAACGGGGAGGGUGCUCUGUAAACUGGCGAGCUAGAGGACGGUAGAGGGGGGUGGAAUUGCUGGUGUAGCGGUGAAAUGCGUAGAGAUCAGCAGGAACACCCGUGGCGAAGGCGGCCCCCUGGGCCGUCCCUGACGCUGAGGCGCGAAGGCUAGGGGAGCGAACGGGAUUAGAUACCCCGGUAGUCCUAGCAGUAAACGAUGACCACUAGGUGUGGGGGGUGUUGACCCCUUCCGUGCCGAAGCUAACGCAUUAAGUGGUCCGCCUGGGGAGUACGGUCGCAAGACUAAAACUCAAAGGAAUUGACGGGGACCCGCACAAGCAGCGGAGCGUGUGGUUUAAUUCGAUGCAACGCGAAGAACCUUACCAGGGCUUGACAUGUAGUCGCAACACCAAGAAAUUGGUGCCUCCUUCGGAACGGCUGCACAGAUGUUGCAUGGCUGUCGUCAGCUCGUGUCGUGAGAUGUUGGGUUAAGUCCCGCAACGAGCGCAACCCUCGUUUCCAGUUGAAAAUCUGGAGAGACUGCCGGAAACAAACCGGAGGAAGGUGGGGAUGACGUCAAGUCAGCAUGACUCUUACGUCCUGGGCUACACACACGCUACAAUGGCCGUUACAGCGAGAAGCCACCCUGCAAAGGGGAGCAGAUCUCUAAAAGGCGGCCCCAGUUCAGAUUGCACUCUGCAACCCGAGUGCAUGAAGUCGGAGUUGCUAGUAACCGCGUGUCAGCAUAGCGCGGUGAAUAUGUUCCCGGGUCUUGUACACACCGCCCGUCACGUCAUGGGAGCCGGCAAUACCUGAAGUCCGUGAGCUAACCUCCUCUUUUUGGGGUAGGGGCAGCGGCCGAGGGUAGGGCUGGUGACUGGGACGAAGUCGUAACAAGGUAAC